Molecule: ribosomal RNA, 253 nt
Filed under: uncultured bacterium
Lineage: Bacteria
Description: partial 16S ribosomal RNA
Rfam family: Bacterial small subunit ribosomal RNA
Source: RNAcentral
UACGUAGGGUGCGAGCGUUGUCCGGAAUUAUUGGGCGUAAAGAGCUUGUAGGCGGUUUGUCGCGUCUGCUGUGAAAAUCCGGGGCUCAACCCCGGACUUGCAGUGGGUACGGGCAGACUGGAGUGUGGUAGGGGAGACUGGAAUUCCUGGUGUAGCGGUGGAGUGCGCAGAUAUCAGGAGGAACACCGAUGGCGAAGGCAGGUCUCUGGGCCACUACUGACGCUGAGAAGCGAAAGCAUGGGGAGCGAACAGG